GACGAACGCUGGCGGCGUGCUUAACACAUGCAAGUCGAACGGAAAGGCCCUGCUUUUGUGGGGUGCUCGAGUGGCGAACGGGUGAGUAACACGUGAGUAACCUGCCCUUGACUUUGGGAUAACUUCAGGAAACUGGGGCUAAUACCGGAUAGGAGCUCCUGCUGCAUGGUGGGGGUUGGAAAGUUUCGGCGGUUGGGGAUGGACUCGCGGCUUAUCAGCUUGUUGGUGGGGUAGUGGCUUACCAAGGCUUUGACGGGUAGCCGGCCUGAGAGGGUGACCGGCCACAUUGGGGAUGGGAUAAGGGCCCGAAUCCUACGGGGGGCAGGCGGGGGGAAUAAUGCAAAAUGGGCGGAAGCCUGAUGCAGCAAAGCCGCGUGCGGGAAGACGGCCUUCGGGUUGUAAACCGCUUUCGCCUGUGACGAAGCGUGAGUGACGGUAAUGGGUAAAGAAGCAACGGCUAACUACGUG
RNAcentral lists this ribosomal RNA (468 nucleotides) under uncultured bacterium. RNAcentral describes it as "partial 16S ribosomal RNA". It matches the Rfam family "Bacterial small subunit ribosomal RNA", at positions 28 to 507 of the family's 1533-position model. The record is from RNAcentral.